GAUGAACGCUGGCGGCGUGCUUAACACAUGCAAGUCGAACGGAAAGGCCCUACUUUUGUGCUGUGCCCGAUUGCCGAACGCGUGCGUAUCACGUGUGUAACCUGCUCUUCAUUUUGGGAUAACUUCAGGUAACUGGGGCUACUAUCGUAUCGGAUCCCCUGUUGCAUGGUGGGGGGUGGAUAGUCUCGGCGGUUGGGGAUGGACUCGCGGCUUAUCAGCUUGGUGGUGGGGUAGUGGCAUACCCAGUCUGUGACGGGUACCUGACCUGAGAGGGGGAACGGCGACAUUGGGACUGAGAUACGGCGCAGACUCCUACGGGAGGCAACAGUGGGGAAUAUUACACAAUGAGCGGGAGCCUGAUGCAGCAACGCCGCGUGCGGGAUGACGGCCUGCGGGUUGAAAACCGCUUUCGCCUGUGACGAAGCGUGAGUGACGGUAAUGAGUGAAGAAGCACCGGCUAACUACGUG
This 468-nucleotide ribosomal RNA is filed under the name uncultured bacterium. RNAcentral describes it as "partial 16S ribosomal RNA". It matches the Rfam family "Bacterial small subunit ribosomal RNA", at positions 28 to 507 of the family's 1533-position model. The record is from RNAcentral.